AGUGAACGCUGGCGGUAGGCCUAACACAUGCAAGUCGAACGGCAGCACAGUAAGAGCUUGCUCUUACGGGUGGCGAGUGGCGGACGGGUGAGGAAUACAUCGGAAUCUACUUUUUAGUGGGGGAUAACGCAGGGAAACUUACGCCAAUACCGCAUACGACCUACGGGUGAAAGCAGGGGAUCUUCGGAUCUCGCGCGAUUGAAUGAGCCGAUGUCGGAUUAGCUAGUUGGCGGGGUAAAGGCCCACCAAGGCGACGAUCCGUAGCUGGUCUGAGAGGAUGAUCAGCCACACUGGAACUGAGACACGGUCCAGACUCCUACGGGAGGCAGCAGUGGGGAAUAUUGGACAAUGGGCGCAAGCCUGAUCCAGCCAUACCGCGUGGGUGAAGAAGGCCUUCGGGUUGUAAAGCCCUUUUGUUUGGAAAGAAAAGCAGCAAGUUAAUACCCCGCUGUUCUGACGUUACCCAAAGAAUAAGCACCGGCUAACUUCGUG
This 492-nucleotide ribosomal RNA is filed under the name uncultured bacterium. Its description in RNAcentral is "partial 16S ribosomal RNA". It matches the Rfam family "Bacterial small subunit ribosomal RNA", at positions 29 to 507 of the family's 1533-position model. The record is from RNAcentral.